This 335-nucleotide ribosomal RNA is filed under the name Blastocystis sp. subtype 1. RNAcentral describes it as "SSU rRNA". It matches the Rfam family "Eukaryotic small subunit ribosomal RNA", at positions 18 to 369 of the family's 1831-position model. The record is from RNAcentral. Lineage: Eukaryota; Bigyra; Opalinata; Blastocystidae.
UAGUAGUCAUCCUAUCGUCUCAAAGAUUAAGCCAUGCAUGAGUAAGUGUAAAUAGUUAAGUUUGGAACUGCGAAUGGCUCAUUAUAUCAGUUAUAGUUUAUUUGGUGAAGUGUACUACUUGGAUAACCGUAGUAAUUCUAGGGCUAAUACAUGUAGAAAGUCCUCUGGUGAGGUGUGUUUAUUAGAAUGAAAACCAUAUGCUUUGGCCUGAUAGUGAGUAAUAAUAACCUAUCGUAUCGCAUGCUUAAUGUAACGAUGAGUCUUUCAAGUUUCUGCCCUAUCAGCUUUCGAUGGUGUAUUGUAGUACUACGACGGUAACAGGGAGUAAAGAAGAA